Molecule: ribosomal RNA, 729 nt
Filed under: Achromobacter sp. 110518_136_C_F5
Lineage: Bacteria; Pseudomonadati; Pseudomonadota; Betaproteobacteria; Burkholderiales; Alcaligenaceae
Description: bacterial SSU rRNA
Rfam family: Bacterial small subunit ribosomal RNA
Source: RNAcentral
AUGGCUCAGAUUGAACGCUAGCGGGAUGCCUUACACAUGCAAGUCGAACGGCAGCACGGACUUCGGUCUGGUGGCGAGUGGCGAACGGGUGAGUAAUGUAUCGGAACGUGCCUAGUAGCGGGGGAUAACUACGCGAAAGCGUAGCUAAUACCGCAUACGCCCUACGGGGGAAAGCAGGGGAUCGCAAGACCUUGCACUAUUAGAGCGGCCGAUAUCGGAUUAGCUAGUUGGUGGGGUAACGGCUCACCAAGGCGACGAUCCGUAGCUGGUUUGAGAGGACGACCAGCCACACUGGGACUGAGACACGGCCCAGACUCCUACGGGAGGCAGCAGUGGGGAAUUUUGGACAAUGGGGGAAACCCUGAUCCAGCCAUCCCGCGUGUGCGAUGAAGGCCUUCGGGUUGUAAAGCACUUUUGGCAGGAAAGAAACGUCAUGGGUUAAUACCCCGUGAAACUGACGGUACCUGCAGAAUAAGCACCGGCUAACUACGUGCCAGCAGCCGCGGUAAUACGUAGGGUGCAAGCGUUAAUCGGAAUUACUGGGCGUAAAGCGUGCGCAGGCGGUUCGGAAAGAAAGAUGUGAAAUCCCAGAGCUUAACUUUGGAACUGCAUUUUUAACUACCGAGCUAGAGUGUGUCAGAGGGAGGUGGAAUUCCGCGUGUAGCAGUGAAAUGCGUAGAUAUGCGGAGGAACACCGAUGGCGAAGGCAGCCUCCUGGGAUACACUACG